CCACAUUGGUUAUCUGUGGUACAUUUACGUUUAAUGAUGACAUCCCCAACAUUGAGUUCGAUAUAAAGUUUUUCUAUAGUCCCCUGGGAAACAAUCAGUUCAUGUUGAUGCCUUACAUGUGGCGAAGAGGUCCGCUGUGCGAUUUUUUCAACCAAUAUUUUCAGAAGUAUGUUCAACCCGUAUUAGAAGAUGUUUCGGAUGUUCCGAAGGCUGUUAAAGGUCAACCAGUGUGUCCGCUAUACGUGAAAAAAACGUAUACUAUUCAAGAGUAUUAUCUGCCUGAAGAUAUAUUUCCAAACUAUUUCCAACCUGGAACGUACAAAUGUGAACUCAAUUUCUAUAACGUUAAUGGGGCAGAAAUCCAA
RNA transcript from Bradysia coprophila, 365 nucleotides. RefSeq lists it as uncharacterized. The record is from RefSeq and is a predicted model, not a curated record. Lineage: Eukaryota; Metazoa; Arthropoda; Insecta; Diptera; Sciaridae.